Molecule: non-coding RNA, 119 nt
Organism: Podarcis lilfordi (Lilford's wall lizard)
Lineage: Eukaryota; Metazoa; Chordata; Lepidosauria; Squamata; Lacertidae
Source: the annotation of a GenBank genome assembly
UGGAUUGUAUUCAGUGCUGGUCCUACUCAGGGUAGACCCAUUGAAGUUAAUGAGCAUGACUUAGUUUCACUUAUUUCAAAGAGCCUACUCUGAGUAGGACUAGCAUUGGCUAAAACCCA